Long non-coding RNA from Pollicipes pollicipes, 438 nucleotides. RefSeq lists it as uncharacterized. The record is from RefSeq and is a predicted model, not a curated record. The transcript is spliced from 3 exons. NCBI's taxonomy places the organism in Eukaryota, Metazoa, Arthropoda, Thecostraca, Pollicipedomorpha, Pollicipedidae.
ACGUGGAGAAGGAAUUCAUCUACCGGCAUUCACGCGCCGUCUUCAACAUCAUGGACUUCGACCAGUCGGGCACGGUGUCAGCUGAGGAAUUCGAGAGAAUAGGCUUCCUCUUCAACUUCUACAGUACCGCCAUCCGGUCAAUCUUCAAGGAGUUCGACGUGUCGGGAGAUUCGGAGCUGGAUUUCAAGGAGUUUAAGCUAUUCGCAAUGGCGUGCAUCGACCAGCAGCGUGCCAUCUGGCUGAGUGAGCAGCGCAAACAGCUCCACAGGAAGCAGCUCAAGUUCUUAAGCGACAACAGAGAGAUGCUGCUGUUCCACCUGAGCAACAGACCGAGUCAGGCGGCCCUUCUGGCCUCCCCCCACGGUGUGGAAACGGAGGCGCCCACAGGACGUUAGGUCCAGUGGGCUGCUACACUGGAGAACGAUAAAAACACAGUUG